GGAAAUUAAGGAUCGUAGCAAUUUUGUAACCAAAGAAAAAUUGAAAACAAAUAAAGAUAAAUGAGACAAAAAUUUUAUGUGAAAAACACCAUAAAGAUUAGGGUAAAAAUCAUUGCCAAAGGUAAAAGGAUUUUACUAUCAAAAUGAGGAUUACAGCACUUUUCUCUAAAUAUAAGAAGAGAAUAAUUACAUUCUUUCUUAUAUUAAGAGAAAACAAUUUUGUCAUUCAAAAUUGAGAAAAAAUAACAAUUAUAAAUGAGAAACUAAUUUUUCUCUCUUCGCCAAGCUCACAACUCUUUUUUCAAAUA
Molecule: long non-coding RNA, 308 nt
Filed under: Citrus maxima (pomelo)
Lineage: Eukaryota; Viridiplantae; Streptophyta; Magnoliopsida; Sapindales; Rutaceae
Description: long non-coding RNA (CMAX_LNC000508)
Source: RNAcentral